This 407-nucleotide small RNA is filed under the name Pongo abelii (Sumatran orangutan). Its description in RNAcentral is "retained intron". Lineage: Eukaryota; Metazoa; Chordata; Mammalia; Primates; Hominidae. The record is from RNAcentral.
CCAGCAGCCAGAAGAGUGCCGGGUGCCCACUAAUUGCUUCAUAAAUAUUUAUGGAAUGGAAGAAUGAUCUUUCUUCCUGCUGCAGAUCCCUGCAGUGCUUUAUGCCAGUCUGCUGGUGCUUUGAAUAUCAAGCAUGACAGUCACGUGAUGGAGAAUGUUUGAAUUUUAUUGCUCUUUUCUUGGCAGGUUUAUGGGGAAGUGCUCUUGGUAACAAUGAAGUCAUUAGGGAAUACGUUUUUGACCAGUUAAGGAAUCUUCUGACCCCAAGAGGUUUAUGGAGAAGGGCUGUUGCUAAUGCUAAAAGCAUUGGACGCCUUAUUUUUGCCCGAUUACUGAGGCUGCAAGAAAGUUUGCAAGGGGAACAUCCUCCCCCAGAAGAUGAAGGCGGUGAGCCUGAACACACCUGG